Alligator mississippiensis (American alligator) is the source of this 4836-nucleotide long non-coding RNA. RefSeq lists it as uncharacterized. The transcript is spliced from 3 exons. The record is from RefSeq and is a predicted model, not a curated record. Lineage: Eukaryota; Metazoa; Chordata; Crocodylia; Alligatoridae.
GAUUACAUCUGGAAGGACUAUGUCAGCAAAUCUGGUGUCUCUAGCUGUGACCUCCAGCACCAGGAUGAAAUCUUCAAAUCCAGAGCUACCCCAAGAGAUACCACAGUUUAUGUUUCUAUCUUCACUGUUCACCUCAGUGGCUUCCAGGAGCUCUACAGACAUUUCCUCAGGCUGUCGGAUGGGGCUAUUGUAGAGGCAUUUGGCGAUAUUAGUGGAGUAACUCUUUUAUAUAAUGAAGUGAGCACAACCAUUCAGGAACAUGUAAGUGAAUCGGACAACGUGCUGGGAGCCUCUUCACUUAUCAAGCUGAGGGAAAGAAAAAAGAAUACAGCAAGGUGGAAAGACUUUUGUGCAAGAAGGAAAGAAGACAGAGGAGAGACCGUGCCAUUCAGGUAGCCUCCACGAUGGAUACAGGUCAUGAAGAAAGGAGUAUACUAAAUUCCACAUCACCACUGACAGCCACAAUAUAAUUUUGCACAGUGUUUUUAACUUGCUGAAAAUGUAUUGCAGAAUUACAGGAACAGGAAUGAUUAUUUGAUAAGCAAGUUAUUUUCUAGGCCACCAAAUUUAGAUGGUAAGGGUACUGAGGAGAGGACCUUAAUUUCACACAUAUUUGAUAUAAGAUAUAUAUUACCUGCUGGAAUUAGUGAGGAAUUAGAAUAAAGUUAAAUCAGUCCAAAUCCAUGGAGUAGGUGGUAAAGUAAUUUUCACUACUUUAUAUAUACACUUUUUUGAUCUUAGAAAAUCUUUCCCUUCAAUGGGAGCAAAACAAAAUGUGGGUUAUUAAAAUUCUGAAUGUGUUUAACUCCCCCACAAAAAUCCCUAAAAAAACCCCUCCAGUGAUUUUUCUGAAUUCCCUGGAAGAAGCUAGCCUGGGCCAAAUGCUUCCUUCAUUUGUAUUUGCAAAACUUUCUACAAAUCAACCCAAUCCCUGCAAUGGAGUUAGUAAUAGAUGGGUAUAAUUACCAAGUGGGUAUAUUUCUGUCCUGGCUCUCAUAUGUUUUGCUGACCACCAAAUACUGUUGUGAUGCAUCUUGCUUAUGAGCAAGCCAUCAGUUUAAUGUCAAGUGCAAGAUCAUUGUUAUAAUCAGAGCAGACCAGGGAUUUUGAGAACUGUGAUAGACAAUCUAUACAAGAUAUACAAGGUGAGAACGGUAGGGAUAGAUCUGUUGCUGUGUAAGCUGGUGCUGAAACCAAAAUAAUUUUCUCAAAAAAUAAAAACAAAUAAAAGACUAAAUUAAAUGCUAAUUGACCAAUUUAGCUCAAAUGAAACCAAACAGUGGACUAAAAGGAUUUGUAUUUGAUUAAUUAGCCCAACUUGACUAUCAAUCAGCAUAGAGAACCUGCAAAUUAUAAAAUAAAAUGCCAAGAAUCAGCCACACUUUUAACAUCAUGGGUCAGAUUUUGCCUUCAGUUAAACCCACUGGCCUCACAUAGAUAACAUGGGUAUAAAUUGAAGCAGGAUUUGGUUCAAUAUUUUUUGUAAUCUUAGAAGUCAUGGAACAAUCAAAUAAUAUGACCUUUAGUGGUCCACCAAAGAAUCUAGUUCUGCUCUGUAUGGGAUCCAGAUUAAUCAAUAUCCUAUUAUGAUUGCAGCCUGGGUUUGUUACAGCUGAGGCAUGCUAAGAACUGUCUGGACAGUAUUUUUCUCCUUGCAACAGCAGUGCGGCUGGUUUCACACACUUUCAGCUUGGUACAUUGUUGCUUUAUAAGAAAGCCACAACAUGUGUUUAAGCAAUGUUGUGAAAUCUGGCAUAAAUGUACACAAUCUGGGCCCACUCCUACAUACACUGCCCAGUCAGAACUCUAAGUGCACCCCAAUAUGCUAAAAAACAUGUUAAGAGUCAGAACUCAUCCUGACAAUGAAAUUCAGAUUUUCCUGUCAUUUGCAAUAAGGGCAUUACAUACAGGAAUGUCAGGGAAAGCAAGGGGCAAGGAUUCCCCACAUAGAUGGAUCCAGAAAUUAAAAAAUGGGGGUGUGGGAGAUGCAACUGGCACCACAGGGGUGGCCACAGCCCACUCCUAUCUCCCUUUUCCCCACCAUUGGCAGACUGACAUGGCAGCAACUGUCAGAGACUUUAUUUGAAGUCUCUAAUGGUCCCAGCUGCUGCCUUUAUUGGGGGGCCAGGUACACAAAGGCGGUCAUUGCUGUAGCAGCGGCUGAUCCCAGCACCACAAUUGGCAUGGCAGAAGUUCCCGCUGCCCCAGGCACUGUGCAGCUGCCCAGGCAUGGAACGACACUGCUACACCUACGCAGGAAGCAUAUUUGGGCUUCUAUUAUCUGACCUUAAGUGAGAAUCUGAUGGAGAUGGUGACAACUCAACACAGUAAGAGGCAAGUCCAGGUAAGUUGAGAACAUGGCCCCUAUCUACUCACUGAUCCUUUACCAUGAUAAUAAAAAAUACAUGAAUGCUAUUUUCUUGCUCUUUCUCUCUUUUGGUUAACUUGCACGUGAAUGCACAGAAUGUUGCAAAGCUCUUUUAAAUGAAGUUUGGCUCCAGAUGUGCUCCUCAGCAAAGGCCUGAGAUCUGGCAUGCCAAGUUCCAGCUCAGUUUGUAUCUUUACAAGUGAAAUAAUGAAUGGCCCUUAACUAUUGUGGCAUAAGCGGUGACUGCAAGUGUUUGAAUGAAGCUGACCUUUUACAUACUAAUGUUCCAUAGCUGCUAAUAAAAAAAGCAUUUUUUUUCAGAGAUGGGAGUAGAAAGAAAUAUUGCUAAUACUUUAGUAAGAUGUAUGCAUUCUAGCUGCAAUGAAACAAGAAAGGUCAAAUUUUCUCACUCAACUCUCCCCCCUUUCUUUUUCUUGCAUUGUCUAACUUCUUUCCCAUCUUUGUUGUACUAAUGAAAUUAAGAUAUCCUUCAUGAUAUAACUGUGAGCUAAGGGGAUCUAAAUUACCUUCAUCUGGCAUCAUUCCAGUAUACUAUAAAUGAGGUAAUUGUCCUUGACUAUAAAAUUUGCAUUUUCAAGACUUAAUUGCUAUCAUUACAUCUUUUUGUAAUUCUAUUAAUUUAACUGAAUGGAGCAUUUGGUUUUAUGGUAAAAAUUUGCAUUAAAACAUUGUACAUCUAAAUAGAAUUUUAAUAUUUGCGUUGAAAGCUCAGUACAGUUAUCCCACAGGACCUAAAUAAUUUCACAAGAAAAGAAUAAGUAGCAGUUGCACUUUAGGUCAACAAACUGGUUUUCUUUAGGUGAAUAUUAAUAGACUGUUACCAGUAUAGUGCAGCCACCUGACAAAUGCUUCUGUUUGGGUUCUGUGAAUUCAUUGUUCCAAUAUGCUCUAUGGGUUCUUUCUGCAUAAUUAUUAACAGGAAGGACAUUCUUGAGAUGCAGUUGAAGUUGGGUGCUUGCUUAUAUGUUUUGUCUCAGAAGUAUUUCAUAGGCAUAAACACUAGAUAUGUUGUAUUUCAAAAGCAUUGUUGUAUUUCCUCAAAACUUCUCCUUAGAGUGUUAGUACACAUGCUUUGCUGUCAGCCAAGUCUCAAAAGAACCUAUGUAAUACUGUGAUAGAAUAUUCUUAUGUGCAUAAUAUUCUUGAUCACUAGCCAAGGUCUACUGCACAAGUUAUAGGACCAGUUCAUUGCUUAGCAGUUCAGUAUUUGAUUGGGAAAUACUCCUCAGAACCUGUCUGGCCAUUUCACAAACAGGUGGCUAUGUCCUUAAUGGAUUUUCUUUGAAUGUGGAACAUUUCUAGAAGAUUAACCACAGUACAUUUAUGCAGUUAAUACUGCGUAAUAUUUUACUUAACAACUCCAUAACCUUUGAGACCUUUUGUAUUUUUUUUUUCUUUUGCUAGCAUAGUUUGGUUGUGGGCAGAUGGUGGGUGCAUUUACAUGUGCAAUUACCCCAACUGAAUAAACUCUGAUGCAGUUUGUGCCAGAAUCAGCUGCUUCUGGGCACAGUGUCUUCAUGUGUGCCCAAGACUACAGCUAGGGUGGAGCAGCCACAGGCUGGCAGGGUACUCAGGGGGUCAGCCCGAGGCUCUGAGUGGUGGCAUCGGGUGGCAAAGAGGCUGGCUGGGGCAUAAGGGUGCUACAGUGUGGGGCAACCAGCAGGCAGCCCCUGCACUGUAGCACUUUCGUGUCCUAGCCAGCCCCAGUCAUUGUCUACACGUGUGCUUUAUUACACUAAAUGACUCCACCAUAGGAUAGUACUUGUCCUGGGCAGUACUAUCCUAUGGCAGAAUUAUUUUAUUUACUGUGCCCAAAUAGGGGCACACAUGUAGAUGGUGAUGCUUUACUGUGGAGCUAAUUAGUCAACUGCAGUAAAGUGCACAUGUAAACGCACCCUGUGAAUAGAAGUCUGAGACCAUGUCCCAUAGACCAACACAAGUAGGUCAAAUACAUUGCUAGCUGGACGAAUAUCAAAUGUAUUUUGUGACAGUAUCAGUCAUGAUUGCCAUGUAAGAGUAAGGCACAGAGUAUAAAUAGUUCAGAGCAAAGACCAUAUUUUUGUCAUGAGCUUAAUGUGAAGGGACUCAAAGCCCAGAGUUAUCUAAACACCUAACUCCAGUAGAAAUCAAGGCCUUUGAGAAAUGGAGACCUUGUCUUUGUGUAAGGCUCCUAGGUGCUGGUGAUGACGAAAUCAUCAGGGCUGUCCAACGGCCAGUCCAACGGGCUGCCUAUAGGCCACACAACGCUCACAAAGGGCCAACCUGUGGCUAUCACUCUUCUCAGUCCUCUGACUGCUGUUGCAGCCUGAGUCUCCAGUCUCCCCGUCCCUUCUCUGACUUUCACUUCUUGAGGAGACUUCAGUAUGGUGCAAUGUAGGAGCCCUCAGCCAAGGACUAGAGGGGGGCAUCCUCCAGCAUAGUGCAGCAAUGAGGCGACUGCCCAGCUG